Molecule: ribosomal RNA, 441 nt
Filed under: uncultured bacterium
Lineage: Bacteria
Description: partial 16S ribosomal RNA
Rfam family: Bacterial small subunit ribosomal RNA
Source: RNAcentral
ACUACGGGAGGCAGCAGUGGGGAAUAUUGCACAAUGGGGGAAACCCUGAUGCAGCAACGCCGCGUGAAGGAAGACGGUUUUCGGAUUGUAAACUUCUGUUCUUAGUGAAGAAUAAUGACGGUAGCUAAGGAGAAAGCCACGGCUAACUACGUGCCAGCAGCCGCGGUAAUACGUAGGUGGCAAGCGUUGUCCGGAAUUACUGGGUGGAAAGGGAGCGCAGGCGGGAAGCCAAGUCAGCUGUGAACACUACGGGCUUAACUUGUAGACUGCAGUUGAAACUGGUUUUUUUGAGUGAAGUAGAGGUUGGCGGAAUUCCGAGUGUAGCGGUGAAAUGCGUAGAUAUUCGGUGGAACACCGGUGGCGAAGGCGGCCAACUGGGCUUUAACUGACGCUGAGGCUCGAAAGUGUGGGGAGCAAACAGGAUUAGAUACCCUUGUAGUC